AUGGAGAAUGGGGAGAUCGAGGCCGCAGAGGAAGGGUUGCUGGUGCCAGCGCCACCCAACGGGCGACGCUACCGACCGGUGGGCUCGGACGACAGCGCCGUCAUCCACAUGACCUCCAUGGAGCCCAGCCUCGGCUCCACCUCUGUCACAAGCCAUGACGCCGUAACACCCCAGCCGCCAAGGUGA
Molecule: ribosomal RNA, 186 nt
Filed under: Triticum aestivum (bread wheat)
Lineage: Eukaryota; Viridiplantae; Streptophyta; Magnoliopsida; Poales; Poaceae
Description: partial small subunit ribosomal RNA
Source: RNAcentral